UGCACUCACUACCCGUAAGUCGCUCUGGAUAAGAGCGUCUGCUAAAUGACUAAAA
Non-coding RNA from Salmo salar (Atlantic salmon), 55 nucleotides. The record is from Rfam. NCBI's taxonomy places the organism in Eukaryota, Metazoa, Chordata, Actinopteri, Salmoniformes, Salmonidae.